GGUAACUUGGCUUUUAUUUUUAUUAUUUCCUUUUCUCCGAAGUAAAAAUAAGAAAAGCGGGGAAAAAACAAAAAAAAAAAAGGAAAAUUCCUUCUCCUCCUUUCUCGCCGACCGUAGACUGGAGAUUCUUUCCGGUUUCGAUUGCUUUGCGUUCAAAUUUCUCCACGCUUGUACGUCCAGUUCUUGGGUUUGCUCGAUUCUUCCAAUUUUCUCUUUUCUCGCUUUCUCAG
Molecule: unclassified non-coding RNA, 230 nt
Filed under: Hevea brasiliensis (rubber tree)
Lineage: Eukaryota; Viridiplantae; Streptophyta; Magnoliopsida; Malpighiales; Euphorbiaceae
Source: RNAcentral